Alexandromys fortis (reed vole) is the source of this 3959-nucleotide long non-coding RNA. RefSeq lists it as uncharacterized. NCBI's taxonomy places the organism in Eukaryota, Metazoa, Chordata, Mammalia, Rodentia, Cricetidae. The record is from RefSeq and is a predicted model, not a curated record. The transcript has 3 exons.
GAGCCAUGGCUUUGAUUUCAUUCCUUGGUUCUUUUGCUCUUGUGAUCUAGCCUAUCCUUGAACACCAAGUAACUGAGGUCUACACACGCUUCUCACAAGCCGUUCAGAACAGACAAUGAUUUUAGAUCAGGGCUAUGUGCAGAAGAAAGCAUGAACGGAAAUGGGUGUUAUCAGGGCAAAGCAAACCCAGAUGCCUUAACACCAUGGCAAAGAUGGAUUCUUGCCUCUUCCGUGGGCUGCGUUUCAGUAUCCAUGAGCAUCUGACACUCAAUUACACGUGAGAGCUCUGCCUUUUAUCCUCCGAUGUCCCAAGUCUGCUAAACAAAGCAUUUCUUCCCCAGUGACAGUGACGCCUGGCUACGAGCUGGAGGCUCUCUCUGCCUGGGUCUGGGAAGUCGCUCUUUCCGGAAGGGUGGUAGAGACCCUGGGAAUCGGACCAGCCCGGCUCACAAGUAUGAAGAGAAUGUCGGGAGAGGAAGUGGUGGUUCUGAGUCAGCAUGAGUCAUCUGGUUCCAGUGGCAAUGAAGGCUGAGGUGUGCGCCUUUUUCUUUUUCUUGUCUUUUUUUUUUUUUCUUAAUCAUGUGGACAACUCUGAGAAUGGAGGGGACUCAGUGACUUUACAGUGGCUGCUUUCUAAGUUUCAAAGUGACUUUCCAGGCAAGCUGAGCACGUCUUGGGAUCUUCACAGCACAGUGGCUGGGAGUGGAGCCAUUCAUCAGCUUCUCCCCGAAUAACUGGGAGCUGAAACAGGAAGCCCCAUGACACAGUUGAUCGAAAAUGACACAGACACAGAAAAAUCAGGACGUGCCCCCAGCACCUCUACCUGCUGCCUGCUGAUUGCAGCGAGAAGGCAGGUGAAGGGUUUUCCCUGGGAAUGGACUCUGGCUACGGAGGACUCUGAUCUUCAAAUAAAAUGAUGUGAAGAUUCGAAUGCUUUGGACCUAUAAUUUAGAGGUAGAAAAUCUGCAGACUCUGAAGCCAGCCCAUCUGAAUGUUAUCUUCAGAUCUGUCUAUGAGAAUCACUAUAGCUUCCACUUCCUCACUGAAUGAGUCUGCUUCAGUCCCAGCUCCAACACACACGAGCUCUACAACCUUGUCUAGUCUUCCUGGGGCCCAUGUUCCCCAUCUGUUAAAUACAUGUGUUGGUAUUUUAGCUAUUGCAUGCUGUUGGCAGAAGUUUCUGUUCCAUCUGCGAGCUCCCAAAUAACCACACAGAGACUUAUUAUUAAUUAUAGAUGCUCAGCCAAUAGCAUAGGCUGGUUACUAACUAGCUCUUAUGACUUAAAUUAGCUCAUAUUUCUUGUCUACACUCUACCACGUGGCAGUGCCUUUUUUCGGCACAGCAAGUUCAUCUUGCCUCUCUCCUUGUCCCCUGGUGACUCUGCCCUUCUUCAUCCCCAGGCUCCCUUUUUUCUUGUCCACAAGUCCUGCCUAACCUCUUCCUGCUCUCUAUUAAAUCAAUGAGAGCACACAUCUUCACAGUGUACAAAAGGAUUAUUCUACCACAGUAUAUAAAAUUCUUAAUUAUUUCAUACAGAAAACAGGAUAUACAUGUGAACCAUUGUUGCUUUUGUAAUUAUAAUUUUGCUUGAUUCCCUUUGUUCAUUGUACAAUCCUAUUUUCAAAGAAAAUAAACUCCAGUUUACUAAUAGGAGGAGAGGACUACCUAGAUCCACCUCUGACCCAUCCAGCCCUGGCCAGCACAUGCCUUCACUUAUCUUGCCUGUGCUACACACGAUUGCCCAGCUGUCUAGGUGGGCAUGUUGGAGCACACAUAUUUACCGGAUUGGUUUGGGCCACUGCACUGUCUUUCAUUGACAAGAUGUCUAUGUAAUUCCUUUUCAUUGGCACUAAUCAUGGCUCUUUUUUGUUUGUGUUAUUGUUUCUCAGAGAUAGGGUCUAAUACUAUAGCUCAGGUUGGCCUAGAACUUACUAUGCAGUCCCUGCAGACCUCAGAUCCAUGGAAAUCUUCCUGUAUCACCUUCCCAAGUGCUUGAGUUAAGUCAUGAGCCAGCCAUCGGCCCCAGCUUCUGUUCUUCUGUUGUAGUUACAAUUUUGGAAAAUAAAUAUGUUCACAUUCUAAAGUUCAAGUACAGCCCUGAACGCUUAUCUUGAAGGCUUGUUUUUUUUUUCUGUUAUUUUUUUCUUUCUUUUUUUUUUCCUAUGAGGUUUACUCUCAUGCUCACUUCCUGCCAGCCUCACACUUUGGAUCAGGAGAAAUGCUUGGAAUCUGGAAAGCUCCAUGAGGGCCAAUCAGAGCAGACCUGAUUCCCCUGAAGUUUCCUUUCCUAAAUCCAGUGAGUUUUCCCCCUCUUUCCUGAAGUUCUAGGAUUUCUAUGGAAAGAAAAAUAAAUCUUCUUCAUUCUGCAUAGGCCCCUUUGGGUUCAAACCGUGAGGCAGCUUGAGCCUCUGUAGGUAGUGGCACUAAGGCUGAGAACCUCCCACCUGCUUUGACCUUGGCUUUCUCAUUUGGGAAGAGCCCAGUCUGUGGCUCCAACAGGUGCUUUCUAUAGCCGGGAACCUGACUAGCUACACUUGCCACAGAUGCUCAUGGUGGGAGUGAAAGUGUGUGGUAGAAGUGAGGAACCACGUCAGCCCCGCCCCAUGGAACUGUGUCUUGUCUGUGUCCUACCCAGAGGUGGAUCCCUGGUGCCUAUGACAAGUGUCCUAUGCACUUGGCACAGGUUGAGCCCGAUCUAGAAGAUACUGAAGGCCCCCUGAGGCCCUUUCUCAGCAGUCAAUCAACAACUCUAUUUUAAAAGCUAUUCCAGAUUCCCCAUGGUAUUUCUUCAUCUCCUCCUAAGACCCCCAAGACCCUCCCUGAGGACACAGUGUUGCGGGAUAUUUGAUCACUGAGACUGAGUAAUUAAAUAAAAUCAACAAACCUUAGGUCAAGAGGUCAAACCAGUAACUACUUGAUGUGAAUUCUAGUUGGUCUUAAUAAUAAAAACCCAGAGUCAGAUAUUCGGGGUGAAAGCUGAAAGAUCAGAGAAGCAGAGCAGUCAGCCACUAUUUCUUACCUCUACAAAAUCCUCAGACCCAUGGGGGCAAGAUCCUGUCUCUACGAAUCCUCAGAUUGAAUGCCUUGAGCUCCUGUCUUCUCCCACCUUGUAUUCCUUUCUCCGCCCAGCCAUAUCCCUUCCUGUCUCCACCUCCCUAGUGCUGGGAUUAAAGAUGUGUGAUUCCCAAGUACUGGGAACCACCACUGCCUAACUCGGUUUCUCUUUUAGACUGGAUCAGUCCCCUGUAACCCAGGAUGGCCUUAAACUCACAGAGAUCUAUCUCUGCACCCACCUUCUGAGCCUCAGUUUCUCCUCAGAGGGACUGAGGAUUCUGGUGGCACAGUCACUUUCAAUCUCUUCAUUGUGUUCCCAGGCUGUGUGGAUGGUGGGUCACCCCUUCCCCUGCCCUGACUUCCCAAUAUCCAAGCUCUUUCUCGCCUUCUCUUCUUUACAGUCUGUAUUUUUCCAAAGGCUGGGAAAUAAAAAUGUCUGAUUGAUAAAUGAGUCCAGUUAGCUGGAAGGAUGACGCUGGUCCAUUUUAAUUUCUUGUUUGCUUUUCUCUCUUUCCAAAAUCCAUGCAAUAAAUGUCCAUCAGGUUUGCAAUCAGAAGAAGAAUGCCCAAUAAAAAGCCAACCGGAACCCCAAGGUUGCAUAUUCCAAUUGGCUAAGGACCUAACCUCCAAGCUUCUGUCCUCCUAUGGUUGCUGGACACUACACCCCAGAUGAUGACAUUACAGAGGGUCACCUCUGCCAGGAGCUACAGGCCUGUAGGGACACACAGAGUAGACUUGGCUCUUGUACUUUGGGAGCCCAGUGCCAGCCUCUAAAUCUUCAAGCCGCAGUUAUUCUCUAGGUUGGGGCUCCUACCAGCUGGCACCCGCGCAUACAAGACCCUCCGGUGAGCCACGCAGCUGCCCAACUGCCUGUUUUUAUCUUCACACGGGAGCGCCCGGUCCC